GGAGAGAGAUGUGCUCCACCAAGUUUAUCGCGAAGGGCCGAGACAUACCAUAUAUCACGGCGAAAAUCGUACGACUCCAUCAAAAGGAUCCAAGGAAGGAUAUUACGUUAUGUAAUGAACGCCCUGGAAGUGGUAUAAUUUGAUGGAAAUCUACCAAUGACUGAGAAUCAAAUAGAUAUUCGUUCAGAAUAUAGAUUGUUGUUCCUCAAACGUUUGAAACGCCGGGAAAGAUACUAACAUUCCCACAGUUAAGAAAUGCAAGAUGAGAAGCGGUGAGAAUAACAGUAAGAAAGUCGAUCUGUGACAGAGUAACGCAUUUUUAAUUAAAAAAAUAUGAACUAGCAAAAAAAUAAAUAAACAUCACCUGUGCUCCUAGAGGCGUUGCUGCUCUGCUGAAGAUGGCCAAAUAGAGGACCACAAUUUGUCUGGACUGCACGAAGACACAGUAUUGUUUAGUUAAAUAUUGACUUC
This is a long non-coding RNA of Octopus bimaculoides (California two-spot octopus), 471 nucleotides long. Lineage: Eukaryota; Metazoa; Mollusca; Cephalopoda; Octopoda; Octopodidae. The record is from RefSeq and is a predicted model, not a curated record.